Molecule: ribosomal RNA, 425 nt
Filed under: uncultured bacterium
Lineage: Bacteria
Description: partial 16S ribosomal RNA
Rfam family: Bacterial small subunit ribosomal RNA
Source: RNAcentral
GUGGGGAAUCUUAGACAAUGGGCGCAAGCCUGAUCCAGCCAUGCCGCGUGAGUGAUGAAGGCCCUAGGGUUGUAAAGCUCUUUCACCGAUGAAGAUAAUGACUGUAGUCGGAGAAGAAGCCCCGGCUAACUUCGUGCCAGCAGCCGCGGUAAUACGAAGGGGGCUAGCGUUGUUCGGAAUUACUGGGCGUAAAGCGCACGUAGGCGGGUAUUUAAGUCAGGGGUGAAAUCCCAGAGCUCAACUCUGGAACUGCCUUUGAUACUGGGUACCUAGAGUAUGGAAGAGGUAAGUGGAAUUCCGAGUGUAGAGGUGAAAUUCGUAGAUAUUCGGAGGAACACCAGUGGCGAAGGCGGCUUACUGGUCCAUUACUGACGCUGAGGUGCGAAAGCGUGGGGAGCAAACAGGAUUAGAUACCCUAGUAGUCC